RNAcentral lists this ribosomal RNA (502 nucleotides) under uncultured bacterium. Its description in RNAcentral is "partial 16S ribosomal RNA". It matches the Rfam family "Bacterial small subunit ribosomal RNA", at positions 28 to 523 of the family's 1533-position model. The record is from RNAcentral.
GAUGAACGCUAGCGGCAGGCCUAACACAUGCAAGUCGAGGGGCAGCACAGAAACAGCAAUGUUUUGGUGGCGACCGGCGGACGGGUGCGUAACGCGUAUGCAACCUACCUUUAACAGGGGGAUAACGGAGAGAAAUUUCCACUAAUACCCCAUAACAUCGAUCAAGGCAUCUUGAUUGGUUGAAAACUCCGGUGGUUAAAGAUGGGCAUGCGUUGUAUUAGGUAGUUGGUGAGGUAAUGGCUCACUAAGCCUACGAUACAUAGGGGGACUGAGAGGUUAGCCCGCCACACUGGUACUGAGACACGGACCAGACUCCUACGGGAGGCAGCAGUGAGGACUAUUGGUCAAUGGGGGCAACCCUGAACCAGCCAUGCCGCGUGCAGGAAGACGGCUCUAUGAGUUGUAAACUGCUUUUAAACAGGGAUAAAGCACAGUAUGUAUACUGUGUUGAAGGUACUGUAAGAAUAAGGAUCGGCUAACUCCGUGCCAGCCGCCGCCGUAA